CCUCGACGUAGUACGGCCCGGUGUGGUCCGGGCCGGCCGCCGUCGGGCCGAUGUAGGGCACGUCCCAGGUCCAGCGCUGCUCGGUGCAGCGGCUGAAGU
This 99-nucleotide transfer RNA is filed under the name Streptomyces cinereoruber. RNAcentral's name for it is "tRNA-Gly". The record is from RNAcentral. Lineage: Bacteria; Bacillati; Actinomycetota; Actinomycetes; Kitasatosporales; Streptomycetaceae.